Molecule: ribosomal RNA, 463 nt
Filed under: uncultured bacterium
Lineage: Bacteria
Description: bacterial SSU rRNA
Rfam family: Bacterial small subunit ribosomal RNA
Source: RNAcentral
GAUGAACGCUGGCGGCGUGCUUAACACAUGCAAGUCGAGCGAAGCACUUUGGAAAGAUUCUUCGGAUGAUUUCCUUUGUGACUGAGCGGCGGACGGGUGAGUAACGCGUGGGUAACCUGCCUCAUACAGGGGGAUAACAGUUAGAAAUGACUGCUAAUACCGCAUAAGACCACGGUACCGCAUGGUACAGUGGUAAAAACUCCGGUGGUAUGAGAUGGACCCGCGUCUGAUUAGGUAGUUGGUGGGGUAACGGCCUACCAAGCCGACGAUCAGUAGCCGACCUGAGAGGGUGACCGGCCACAUUGGGACUGAGACACGGCCCAGACUCCUACGGGAGGCAGCAGUGGGGAAUAUUGCACAAUGGAGGAAACUCUGAUGCAGCGACGCCGCGUGAAGGAUGAAGUAUUUCGGUAUGUAAACUUCUAUCAGCAGGGAAGAAAAUGACGGUACCUGACUAAGAAGC